This 7360-nucleotide long non-coding RNA is filed under the name Ananas comosus (pineapple). RNAcentral's name for it is "long non-coding RNA (ACOM_LNC043163)". Lineage: Eukaryota; Viridiplantae; Streptophyta; Magnoliopsida; Poales; Bromeliaceae. The record is from RNAcentral.
AAUGCGAAAUUUGGUUUAAUGGGUUUACACAUUGGUAUAUGUGCGAUAUAUGGAUUAAUUAGAGAGCGGUUGGGUUCCGUCGCUAAUCCGUGACCAAAUCUGACAAAAUAAGAUUGUAGUUUUGAUGCCCCCGACGUGCUGAACGCAAUGGUGCUGUCGGAUCGAAAAUCCGACGGACGGAUCUCUGAUAAUUGCGAAGUUUGCGUUAAGAGGUCGAAGGUGGCAAUCCGGAAAAUUUGCGAAAGGCGCGACAUUUUAUGUACCGAAUUGCGUGAGAUCGGACGUGGAGGUAUGUACGCGCAAAUUGUACGCCCUGGCAGGGGCUGAGGUUUAAAUAUUCUGGGUUGGAGGGGUUUUCUGCAAUUAGUCCACUUGUAUAUAAUUAGCAUCUAGGGUUUCUUUGCACGAAACCCUAGAUCUAGCCGACCUUGUCUCCCAACUGUGCCCUAACCAGCUUCAGCAGGUCCCUGCCCAAACCUUGCGCGCACCUCGGCCGCCCGCAGGUGCCCCGGCCGCCGGAAAACUUGAAACCCGGCCACCCCUCCAACCUUCUUUCCCAACCAUCCCUGCCGUGGAACCAAUCUGGGUGACCAUAACCCUCGGGCACCACCUCUGGCAGCGGCCCCGACCUCCGCCGUCCCGCCGUGCCGGCCGCCGCCGUCCCCACGCACCGCCGUCGCGGCCUGGGCGCCCUGCAGCCGAGCCUGACCUAGCUCAGGCCGAGCCUGGCCUCGCACCGCCUCCACGAGCCGCCGUCGCCUUUGGACGACUAUGCCGCCUUCCCCGGCGUCGUCGCCGCCGGCCCCCGCCGGUCCCGUGCGUCGCCGGCGCCGUUUUGGCCCCUGCGGCCACUCGCGGCCAUGUCGGGCUGAGCUUGGGUGAUCCCUACCUCCGCGCGCCACCGCCGUUCCCCGCCAGCCGCGCGUCCUCCCACGGCCUCCGGCGACCUACCGCUCUCCACCACCCGCCAUCCCGGCUAUCCCCGUGGACCGCCGGCCGCCGCUCCUCCAUCCUGCGACCGCCCUGACCCAUGCGGGCCGUGGCCGAGUACCCUCGUCUUCCAAGCGCCGCCGCCGCCCACUGACGGGAGCACCACCUCCCCCUUGGCCUCCGCCGACAGACCGUCGCCAUCCCGAGCUCCUCCGGCCGCCGCCUUGCCGCCGGUGCCCUUGAACCCGAGAGGAGCUAGGCGGGUUGGAUCUCCACCGCCGCGCCACCGGCUGCCGUCCACCGCCGGCCAGUACCUUCCCCGGACCCCUUCGACCUGCCGCCCCCUUCCCCGGCCGGUGCGCACGCCGUCCGACAGCCGCCGGCCGUACCCUAGCUCCACCCUGUCCGGUAAGCUGUUUUUAGCCUGUUUGCGCACUAGUUUCCUGUUUGGAUGACUGUUCCGGCGACCCGGGGCUGUUCCGAUGCCUCCGGAGGUGAGCACGGUGAUCGUCAGUCAGUUCUUAUCACAAUGCUCCCCUCACUUAGGGUCAGCGAGCUCCGGAUGAGUUAAUUAGAUGCGUUUUAGUUCCAGUGCGCGCUGUUUCGUUGAACUUCGUGUCGCUCGUGCGCGACCCAUAGUGGCCGAAAUUGCUCUAAAAGGUGAGUAUGGCCUCCGGUAUGCUGAGACCUAUCAGCAGGUGUCUCGGUUUGGCUGAUUGACUUCUGGUUUGUGUAGAUGGACCAUAAAAGCGCCGAAAUCACAUAAAAUAAUGUGAUUUCGGGUAAUCGAGUGGGCUUUUAUGCAUUUUGGUUCGUCGUGGCUGCUGUUGGCAGCAUGGGUGAGCAGUGGGUGACCUCUGGACUGAUUGUCCAAGGCCCCAGACCUUUGCGAAGAUUGGAAAUGCAUUUUCGACGCGUUUUUCGGCGAAAUCCGCCGACGGAACGCGGGUUCGGUUCGGAAUUAUUCCGACGGUGCUUCGUGAGCUAUUGUGUAGUUGCUGAGUCUGGUUGGCUGGUCACUCGCAUCAUUUCGAGAGUUUAGACAUAACGGGUGAGCGACGGUGCGUUCCGAAGUCGAAAUUGACACUUUCGGGAACCCGGAUCGAAACGAUUAUCCGACGAUAAUUGUUUCGACGUGAGGAGCUGUGGUUGCCGCCAUGAUGCACGAUUAUUGAUGUUUAGUGGCAGCGGAUGACUCGUAGCACGAGUCGGUACGUUCCGGGACAGUCGUGGGUCCCGACGGAGUCUCGGUGCGAUUUCGGGACUUCCGACGAGUUACGGUAAUCGGUUUUGGGAAACCGAUAUCCGUGGGUUUUAGUUUGUGGGGUUGUAGAUUCAGUGUUUAUUGUUUGUAGGUUGGACACUAACCCAGUGGACCCUCCUUAGGUCCGGUUGACGUUCUUUUGCAGUCAGGAGACAGGUGCGACACAUGUACAGGUGGGUACUUCGAUCCGAUGUCGGUACAGUGGUGCACGCUCGGUGAUGGUUUCUUACCUUUGUUCUCUUGUUAUUAUCUGGCAUAUAUAUAUUUUGAUAUAUAGUGUUGAGCCUAGCACCCACGUUGUUUGGUUAUAGUCUACUCAGAUGUUUCCAUGCUUAGUAUCAUGUGUAGGAGUAUAGUCUAUCUGUAUGUGAUACCAUGUUUUCUUGUUGCUCUACUUAGCUAUCCUGCAUAUCCUGUUUCAUGUUUAGAGUAGAGCGGUUUCGUGAUUUCCUGUGAGAUCGGUGACCUAGUCGGUCGGUUCCUUGACUUCUGUCGUUUGAUGACCUUUGAGGUCGGUGUACCCUGAGGGGUCGGAUUGUCGGCUAGUGGCCGACGGUAGUUCUAGAUUAUAUACUCAGAUGACUUGUUGAUCGAUUCUUGCAUAUAUACAGUAGUUGACUUAUUGAUCAGUAUCUACAUACUUUUGGUAGGAUGUUGAGUUGUUCCAUCCCAGUUGACUUGAUUAGUCAGUGCUUACAUACAGUUGAGAGGAUGUCGAUGUUGUCCCAUCCUAGUUGACCUGAGUGGUUGGUUCUUGUGCUUCCUUACAGUUGAUGGCCUAUACGGUCAGUGUGCCCUGAGGGGUUGGAUUGUCAGUUAGUUGCCGAUGGAAGAUCUUUGAGCAUACUAUAUUGAUCGCCACUGCAGGUACGCAUUUCACGAACACCAACGGUCUGAUCCACCGCAAGAGGGUGUUCUUUUCCGGAAAAGUGGUUGGAUUGCCAACCCGUGAGCCCAGGGGCUUUAUUGCGAGGGUAUAUGCUUCUGACCCAGGGGCUUCAUUGCAAGGGUCAGGUACAGGGUGAGUAGUAGUGGCACAGGCUUGAGGUUCAGGUGCGAACCAACAGAGCAGCAGAUUUCAGAUUGGGUAUUUUUGGUCUUUACAUCCAGUUGACGCAUAUGCCUAUAGUUGCAGUUGUUGCAUGCAUACUUACAGUUCUUGCUUUAUAAUUGUCUUGCUACUAUAGUAGAUAUUCAUGUAUGCUUUCUGUUCCAGUUAUAAUAGCGGUAGCCGUUAUUCAGUCUAGUUCCUACUUUCUUUCAGUUUAUUGCUACUGUAUUUAGUAUAUCUGCUCAUUACCUUAUACAUCUCUUUCGUUUACUAUUGUUCCUACUAUAUUUCCACUGACCCGUGUUGUUGUAUAGCUUUUCCUGAUUCGGUGAGUACUCCUCGCCUUCUUCGGCUUACGGUACCCACUGGGAGGGGAGACAUGUUUACAUGUUCUCACCUCCCCCACUAUUUUUCAGGUAUCGCGGGCGGUGAGGGUUGAGACGAGACGUGAGACAGGUACGUAGCGGUCGAUAGAUCUUCCGACCCAGGUUGUUCGGUUUAGCUCUUACCCUUUUUAUUUCUGUUGAUAUAUAGCUUAGAUAGUUUAUAUGGUUCAGUAUUUUUAUUACAUUUGAAUAUGUGGAUUUUCAUGAAUGUAAUAAAAGGAUUUCUGGAUUUUGUAAAAUAAAGGUUUUCUACCCCUCGUGGUAGCGUUUUUAAAGAAUAAAGGUUUCCGUGUAGGAAACAAUUUUCAAAAGAAUUUUUCGUGGAUUUCUGUUUAAAUAUUGAAUGUAAAACUGUGAUGUGAAUGAUGAAUGUAUGAAUGUGUAGUGAUCUUUAUAUUCAUCUAGUUGUGGUUGUAUCCUGGUUGUAUUCUUGUACUUGUGCGACGCCGUGCAAAUACAGGGGAGACUCUGUCCGUGUGAACAGUGGAUCUCCUGUAUUUGUGGCGGAUCUGGCAUACUCUGGGGUUAGGUUUUUUUUAAAAAAAAAAAGAAAAAAAAAGAAAAAAAAUUUUCAGACGCCUUUCCGCUAUGCUUUAAACUAAAAAGGGACCCAGGGCGUGACAGAUUAAAGUGGUAUCAGAGCCAAGUUACAACCACGACACCAUUCACAGGUUGUUUUGAAAAGUAAAUGAACUGAACCAAAUAAACUAAACCAUUGGUUAGGUCGACCAAUAGGAAGACUACGAUGUAUAGGCAUGUGAGUGCGAGGUUUGGACUUGUGUCCUGGGUUGCAUUCGAGUUGGGUAAACUCGAAGUGCAUGGUGUUUCUGUAUGCGUUACGGUUCGCACAAGCUGGUGUCUAAGUCGGGAGUAGUGGCGAUGUACUUAUACGAGUGGUGGGGCGACGUUCCCCAGGUGUUGCCAAUCCUGUCUGGUGGGGCCUUGAAGGGCGAGUGAUUUUCGGGCCUAGGCGAGUGUCAUAACUGCCGACGCGCAGGCCAUUCUCUCUACUUAGGACACGAGAGCUGUUGCGAGUGUCUCUACGGAGACGGCACUGUGAUCAGUUACGAUCGUGACUUCAGUGGGGCUAUUAGGGUGUAGCCCAUGGCUAUGGUAGCAGUCGUUUAGGCAACUGCAUUGUUAGUGUUGCUUCUGUAGAUCUUUGGGUAGGGUUGUAAUGCCUAUCGAUCCUCCUUGAUUGCUGAUUGGAAUCAGCGGAUCGGGUCUUUUGACCUUUACCUCGUUCAUUCUUCCUACCAGAGUCGUAUUGACACAGUUUUGGUGUCAGGUCCCUGUUGAUGCAUACAUCGUAUGCGAUUAUUCUAACACCUAAAUUGGUGUGUUGUGGGUUAGUUUGUGGUUGGUGAUAGGUUUUGUCUUGAUUUGAGAGACUCCAGGUUAUUGUCGGAAUUCUUGGAGCUUUGACUAUAGCUCGGUUGAGGUGCGAAAAUCGGUUAGAGAAACUGUUUCCUGAAGCCUCAAUUGGUACUGUUCGCAGCUUGUGUCGCUAGCAGCUAUCAGAUGUUGAAAGUUAUAGGACUCCCUGUGGGUUGGUUCAGGGUCGUUCUGAUUUCGAAUGUCGACUUGUAAAGUUGAUGUUUUGAUAGUAAUGGUUGUGAACUCUUGGUUCAGUGAAGAGGUAUUAGGUGGCUUGAUACUUCGAUGUGUCGCGCUUCCAACUUGUUGUUGGUAGUAGAUCUUCGGAUAUUUCGCUUUCUUUUGAUAAGUACAUUGGCUACAGACAAUGUACUGUCGAAAGAUAGGAUGAAAUACCCUUUUUCCCUGUUUGGGACUUUUGGAUUGGGUGCUUGUACCUGUUACAACUAAAAGGUUUGUUUGGUUAUUUAGUAGUCUCGGUCGGUUGUCGAGAGGUUCGGAAUCACAAUUGUGGAGUGACUUGAACCUGGUUGUUGGCUUUAAUUGUCACCGUAGGUGAUAGCGUAUAAGGUUUGCGACUCGGCUUGUCGUGCAAAAUCUUGGAAUUGUAUGCUUGUCCGGAUAAUUGGUGACAGGUGCGCCAGGGUCUCUAUGAGAGAGGCAUUUGGUGUUGGUCGGAACAUCGAUCGCUAGGGUCUAUGGUAGGACGGCAGCAACAGGGUCUUGUGGAGACAGGUGUUGAGCAUCACCGAUGGUUAGUAUUGCAUUUACGAUUGGUGACCUGUGCAUCAAGUGAUGGACUUGCAAGAGCUUUUGGUAGUCUGUUGGUACCGGAUUAAGUUUGAGAAGAUAGUGUCUAGCUCGAUUGGUAUUGUCAGUUGGAUCUUUUGGUCAGGUGGAAAGUGAGGUCUUGGACCUAGGACUAUAGAUUGUCGCAGGUGACUUUCCGUUGAUGAGGUUUUGACAGUUUGUGUGGUUACUGGUGGAGAUUGUGGUCUCCGAUGUGAGUGAUUUUGACUCGGAUUUUAAAACAACGUUUCGGAUUCGCUCGUGGUGAGCAGAUUGAUGUUGUUGGAUAGUUGGAGUUUUUUUUGUUUCAGUCUACGUAAAUAGACUCUAGAUUAAGUGGUUGUCUCGUGACUUUUCUACGUGAACUCGCGACGUAGUCGAGUUGGUUACGGCUAUGCGGACCAAGGUAGAGUGGACCUAAAUUUCUGAAUGUUGAUUAAUUAUCUCAGGAUUGGCAAUUUGGGAUCGGAUAAUCCUUGUCGCGGGACUAUUUUUGUCCGCAGGUUAUAGGAUGGUGUUAAUCCCGGUGAGUUUUGGUCAUAGAUUUUGGGUUGGUACGUUUUUCCCUCGUUUUUGUCCGAGUGGAACCAUAGUCCUAUUCUUCCCUUAUUCGGAGAUUGAUCUGUCCAAAUUCAUGGAAAUGUAAUAGACCAAUACUCAAAGGUGAUACCACAGUGGUGGAAGUUAUAUCCAAAUCCGAUUUCGGUGGGUAUGUGGUCAAGUUUUGGGGACGAAACUUCUUUUAAGGGGGGAUAAUGUAAGGACUGAGAUUUUUACAGUGCAAAUAAACUCUCUGUUGAUAAUGUUUAUGUGUGUAAUUUAAUUACAUAAGCACUUGUCAAGUUUCAGGAGAAAAUGAGCUAGAACGGAGAAGUUACGCGAUUAAAACUAAUCACUUAAAGUGAAUAGUAACUCCGGUUUUCCGGAUAAGCCACGGAGUAGAGUUGGCUUUCGGCGCGUAUCGGACUUCAUUCAUAGCGAUCCAAUAGCUCGUUUCGAUCGGUUCAGCUAUUCUAGAACCAAUGGCACUGACGGAUUUCAGAUCUGAUGCACGGUUUUCGAGAAAAAGGAGUUUUACAAAAAAGAGGGUUUCCGCUUUUUGCUUUUCUGUGCAUUCUAAAGCUUCUCGUACUCCGUGCUUGUGACUUGGAGUAGGGUGAAGAAUGUUUCGAGUCCCUACUAGUGGUAGGGAAGUCAAUUUCUAAUGCGAAAGUUGGUUUAAUGGGUUUACACAUUGGUAUAUGUGCGAUAUAUGGAUUAAUUAGAGAGCAGUUGGGUUCCGUCGCGAAUCCGUGACUAAAUCUGACGAAAUAAGAUUGUAGUUUUGAUGCCCCCGACGUGCUGAACGCAAUGGUGCUGUCGGAUCGAAAAUCUGACGGACGGAUCUCUGAUAAUUGCGAAGUUUGCGUUAAGAGGUCGAAGGUGGCAAUUCGGAAAAUUCGCGAAAGGCGCGACAUUUUAUGUACCGAAUCGCGUGAGAUCGGCCGUGGAGGUAUGUACGCGCAAAUUGUACGCCCUGGCAGGGGCUGAGGUUUAAAUAUUCUGGGUUGGAGGGGUUUUCUA